AGCAUGAUGUCUUUGUUUCAGC
Molecule: non-coding RNA, 22 nt
Filed under: Arabidopsis thaliana (thale cress)
Lineage: Eukaryota; Viridiplantae; Streptophyta; Magnoliopsida; Brassicales; Brassicaceae
Source: RNAcentral